GCGGGGAUAAAGCAAGAGUGGCUUGCUAGGUUCAUACCCUGGAAAUCAGUGAGUGCAACUCUCACCCCCGUCACCA
RNAcentral lists this transfer RNA (76 nucleotides) under Microcoleus sp. FACHB-68. Its description in RNAcentral is "tRNA-Met". The record is from RNAcentral. Lineage: Bacteria; Bacillati; Cyanobacteriota; Cyanophyceae; Oscillatoriales; Microcoleaceae.